GUUUUUGAUUCCUCUUCUGCUUCUUUUUUUUGUUUUCGACUUCCCUAAUUUUGCCUGGACUGUUUUUUUUUUCUUGCAGUCCAUCGGGAUACCCUAAUUUUUGCCUAAGUCACUUGUUUUCAAGUUUCGACUUAGCGGGAUUUUUCUCUCUCUUUUUUUUGGAGUUUUUUUUUGUGGAAAAAAUCGUGUGACAUUUGUUUAUUUGGUUUGAAAGGGUUUGGGGUUGCCUCACUUUUUUUGUUG
Molecule: long non-coding RNA, 243 nt
Filed under: Lathyrus oleraceus (garden pea)
Lineage: Eukaryota; Viridiplantae; Streptophyta; Magnoliopsida; Fabales; Fabaceae
Description: Pisum sativum (pea) long non-coding RNA (PSAT_LNC000688)
Source: RNAcentral